RNAcentral lists this ribosomal RNA (366 nucleotides) under Triticum aestivum (bread wheat). RNAcentral describes it as "partial small subunit ribosomal RNA". Lineage: Eukaryota; Viridiplantae; Streptophyta; Magnoliopsida; Poales; Poaceae. The record is from RNAcentral.
GAAGAACCUAUUGUAUUGGGCUUAGGGCAAAGGAUAAGCAUGGUGGUUAAUAUAGCUGAUGCAUUGGCCUACUUGCACCAUGAUUCUAGAAGAUCCAUUGUCCAUCGUGAUUUGAAGCCUAGCAACAUCCUCCUAGAUGUUGAUAUGAAUGCACAUUUGGGUGACUUUGGCAUUGCAAACCUCGUACUUCAAUCUGGGUCCGCAACAGUUGGACAGUCAAGUUCAGGCACAAGUUCAAACAACUCAGUCGGAUUGAAGGGGACUAUAGGAUAUAUAGCUCCAGGUAAUGGCCAUCGCCAGAUCUUGUAUUUGUUUAAGAUUGUAACAUGGAUAUUUAAGAUCUAUAGUGUACCAUUACUCAAUUAG